UGGGGAAUAUUGGACAAUGGGCGAAAGCCUGAUCCAGCCAUGCCGCGUGUGUGAAGAAGGUCUUCGGAUUGUAAAGCACUUUAAGUUGGGAGGAAGGGCAGUUACCUAAUACGUGAUUGUUUUGACGUUACCGACAGAAUAAGCACCGGCUAACUCUGUGCCAGCAGCCGCGGUAAUACAGAGGGUGCAAGCGUUAAUCGGAAUUACUGGGCGUAAAGCGCGCGUAGGUGGUUAGUUAAGUUGGAUGUGAAAUCCCCGGGCUCAACCUGGGAACUGCAUUCAAAACUGACUGACUAGAGUAUGGUAGAGGGUGGUGGAAUUUCCUGUGUAGCGGUGAAAUGCGUAGAUAUAGGAAGGAACACCAGUGGCGAAGGCGACCACCUGGACUGAUACUGACACUGAGGUGCGAAAGCGUGGGGAGCAAACAGGAUUAGAUACCCUAGUAGUCCCUGAGCGGGCUGGCAAGGCGCAU
Molecule: ribosomal RNA, 472 nt
Filed under: uncultured bacterium
Lineage: Bacteria
Description: bacterial SSU rRNA
Rfam family: Bacterial small subunit ribosomal RNA
Source: RNAcentral